GCCCUCGUAGUUCAAUGGAUAGAACAGUGCACUCCUAACGCGCUGAUAGAGGUUCGAUUCCUCUCGAGGGCACCA
RNAcentral lists this transfer RNA (75 nucleotides) under bacterium. RNAcentral's name for it is "tRNA-Arg". It matches the Rfam family "tRNA". Rfam says of the family: Transfer RNA (tRNA) molecules are approximately 80 nucleotides in length. The record is from RNAcentral.